This 442-nucleotide long non-coding RNA is filed under the name Rattus norvegicus (Norway rat). Its description in RNAcentral is "long non-coding RNA NONRATT031707". The record is from RNAcentral. Lineage: Eukaryota; Metazoa; Chordata; Mammalia; Rodentia; Muridae.
CAGUGAUUCAUGGGUUCCUUCAUUUCAAAGAUGAGGAAACUGAUACUAUUCAGAGGCAAAGUGACCCCAGAACUGAGCUGGAAGUCUUCCUUUCAUCUCUCCCUUUAGGAACUGAUGCCAAAAGCAGAAGGAACUUCUUUUCCAGCCUCCUGCCACUCACCUAUCUCCUGAUCACCUGGGGCAUAGGCCGUCCAGCUAUCCUUUCAGUCCUCUUCGAUUCGUACUUCCAGGACCCAUAUAGCUGGGAAUUGCAGCAUACAUCUUCCGUAAACAGAUCCCAGGAGCAGCCUUCAUUGUCUCUAGUUGGUGAGUAGUUCAGCCUUGUUACCUGGUGAUCCUGGGAACAGGUGCAGGAUAGCUAACGUUUAUUAGGUCUACAUUUCUAGUUGACACACAGCUUUGAUCUUAUCUAAUUCCUCACAGCCGAUCUAUAAAGAAGGAG